AACUUUGGACAAUGGGGGCAACCCUGAUCCAGCCAUUCCGCGUGAGUGAAGAAGGCCUUCGGGUUGUAAAGCUCUUUCGGCAGGAACGAAACGGUGGAGGCUAAUACCUUUCAUCAAUGACGGUACCUGAAGAAGAAGCACCGGCUAACUACGUGCCAGCAGCCGCGGUAAUACGUAGGGUGCGAGCGUUAAUCGGAAUUACUGGGCGUAAAGCGUGCGCAGGCGGCUCACUAAGACAGAUGUGAAAUCCCCGGGCUUAACCUGGGAACUGCGUUUGUGACUGGUGGGCUGCAGUGUGGCAGAGGGGGGUGGAAUUCCACGUGUAGCAGUGAAAUGCGUAGAGAUGUGGAGGAACACCGAUGGCGAAGGCAGCCCCCUGGGUUGACACUGACGCUCAUGCACGAAAGCGUGGGGAGCAAACAGGAUUAGAUACCCUGGUAGUCCACGCCCUAAACGAUGCCAACUAGGUGUUGGAGAAGGAGACUUCUUUAGUACCGUAGCUAACGCGUGAANUUGGCCGCCUGGGGAGUACGGUCGCAAGAU
This 543-nucleotide ribosomal RNA is filed under the name uncultured beta proteobacterium. Its description in RNAcentral is "bacterial SSU rRNA". It matches the Rfam family "Bacterial small subunit ribosomal RNA", at positions 360 to 894 of the family's 1533-position model. The record is from RNAcentral. Lineage: Bacteria; Pseudomonadati; Pseudomonadota; Betaproteobacteria.